RNAcentral lists this ribosomal RNA (429 nucleotides) under uncultured bacterium. Its description in RNAcentral is "bacterial SSU rRNA". It matches the Rfam family "Bacterial small subunit ribosomal RNA", at positions 355 to 776 of the family's 1533-position model. The record is from RNAcentral.
UGGGGAAUAUUGGACAAUGGGCGAAAGCCUGAUCCAGCCAUGCCGCGUGUGUGAAGAAGGUCUUCGGAUUGUAAAGCACUUUAAGUUGGGAGGAAGGGUUGUAACCUAAUACGUUGCAACUUUGACGUUACCGACAGAAUAAGCACCGGCUAACUUCGUGCCAGCAGCCGCGGUAAUACGAAGGGUGCAAGCGUUAAUCGGAAUUACUGGGCGUAAAGCGCGCGUAGGUGGUUUGAUAAGUUGGAUGUGAAAGCCCCGGGCUCAACCUGGGAAUUGCAUCCAAAACUGUCUGACUAGAGUACGGUAGAGGGUAGUGGAAUUUCCUGUGUAGCGGUGAAAUGCGUAGAUAUAGGAAGGAACACCAGUGGCGAAGGCGACUACCUGGACUGAUACUGACACUGAGGUGCGAAAGCGUGGGGAGCAAACAGG